This 207-nucleotide ribosomal RNA is filed under the name uncultured bacterium. RNAcentral's name for it is "partial 16S ribosomal RNA". It matches the Rfam family "Bacterial small subunit ribosomal RNA", at positions 568 to 774 of the family's 1533-position model. The record is from RNAcentral.
AGUGUAGGUGGCCAGGCAAGUCAGAAGUGAAAGCCCGGGGCUCAACCCCGGGACUGCUUUUGAAACUGCAGGGCUAGAGUGCAGGAGGGGCAAGUGGAAUUCCUAGUGUAGCGGUGAAAUGCGUAGAUAUUAGGAGGAACACCAGUUGCGAAGGCGGCUCUCUGGACUGUAACUGACACUGAGGCACGAAAGCGUGGGGAGCAAACA